This is a long non-coding RNA of Esox lucius (northern pike), 1767 nucleotides long. The record is from Ensembl. NCBI's taxonomy places the organism in Eukaryota, Metazoa, Chordata, Actinopteri, Esociformes, Esocidae.
CAAGAGUACUAUGAACUUCUUUGCAUUCAUUUAUAUAAGGUACUCUAGUGUUUGUUACGAUCAACAUCAAGCUUACUAACGUGAGGAUAUGACAGAUGUUCUAACAUGUGCAUGAUAUCAUAUGCAAGCUAAUCAUUUAAGAUAACAAGCUUAUUAGCUGUCAAAUUAGCUGUCUUGAGUCCCUUAUGAUUUUACUGACUGGCUGAUUAUAACAUUGCUAUAAAUGGUUUUCUGCGACAGUAGAAAGUAGGCUAGGCUUGAUGAUUUUGUGUUCAAAUACCUGGGCUGAAUGCAAACCUUCCCCCAAUCCAGGCACAGGAACAUGAGUGCUUUUAUUGACAGACAAAACAUUAGGCUCCUUGCUUCCUGUGCUCUGGUGCAUUUGAUACCUGUGCCUUUCCGUUCUCUAAGUCAGGCUGUUUGGGGAUGUACUUUACAGAUGCCAGGGCUUAUGUUGUUCUUAAGUAGGCCUGCUCCAAAGCAUUAGAAUUUCCCCCAGUCGGAGUGGGAUUUCUUCUAAGCCUACAUGUUUACAACAUACCCUAUGCAAGGUCAAAAAGGUCAAUUCUUUCCCCCAUUGUUGCUAAAUCAGAGGUGUUCUCUCUGUUUUUGGAGAAUCACAGUAGCUCUUUUAAAAUCUAUUGUUGAAUAUAGUAUUUUCAAAAAUUUCAGUGAUACAGUAGCUAAAGAUUAAACCUAACCUGCAGGGUUGAAAAAGUUGGCUCAGGUUAUGUCGAAGAAGGAAGUAAGCCUUCAUAUUAUUGUUGUCAUCACAACUUCUUUAAAGUGAACAGCCAGUUUUACUCACUGUUUGUGAUUUGUGCCUUUAGUUUUAGUCAAAAUAGAUAAUACACUUCACACUGGAUUGUAACACAAAAACGACACAACUCUACUUUCUUCCUUUGUCAUUAUAUUUAUAGAAUCAUGAUAUACGGGUUAUCAUCUUGAUCGGUUUAUCUCUUCUGUUGGUUGGGGGAGGGGAGACAUGGAAGAUUACACAGCCUACAUUAUUUGCAUUUCAUUAAGUUUUUCUAAUCAAUUUGCGCAGUGAAGCAAUAAGAAGUGAAAUGUGUUGAGCUGUCCCGCCCCUAAAUAAGAUGGUUGCCUCAGGUACUGUGUCCAGCCCCACUGUUAGCUAUUAUUACAUUGUUUUAUUACUAUAUCAGUCUGGUUUAGAAUUGAUACUGUUUGACAGUUAUACCCCAGAUAUCCAUAUUCUGGAGCCCUUGAGAUCUUGUUUUGCCUUAGAGAAAUAUUAUGUCGCCAAGGUGUCUAAUAGUAUUUGGAAAGUGUGACGACCCUUGAAACUGCACAUGAACUCCACUAUCUCACGUAUUGUUUAAUGAAUUGUUUGCUUGGGCUCCAUGUGUCUGGAAGUGUUACGUAGUCAGGAGUAAAGAAAGGUUUUAAACAAACGUUGCUCCAUCUAUGGCAUGGCUCAGAGCUCAUUCCACCCCACUAUGUCUCCCCUGACCAAUUCUUUAACCCUGGAGACCCGCGUGGUGCUCCUUCACAUCUGACCCCAGUCAAACUGAGGUCUUUCCCAGAAGACAGCGGGGGUGAGAUGGUGGUCACUCAACAGGAAUCAUACCUCAUUCCGUACAUAAAAUGACCUGUUUCAUUUUUAAACAGACAAUAUAUAGACAGUAUGUUCAAGUGUGAAAUCACUCAAAUUGGCUAUUUUAUGGGUAUUGUUAUUUCUAUUAUUGUUGUAAUUAUUUUCUUGUAAAAAGACAUGCUGCUCUUGUAAUGUUGACUGUACACCAA